CGCCGCAUCAUCUCGCGUGAGUGCCGGGGAGCGGGUCGGCCUGAUCUCUGCUUCCACAGAGCUGCGAAAAAGCAGGAGGCUGCUGGAAAGGCUGUGGUCCAGGAGCAAUUGUCGGGUGAAUGGACUGCUCUAGCAUUUACUGCUACUUGGCCUGAGGUUGCAGACAAGUCUGCAGGUGCCCUCUGUGCCCAUCCAGCAGUUAUCUUCUGAAGACUGCAGCGCUCAUCCUGCCACUAGGGACUGGACUGCAGCUCCCUGCUCAGGCCACUAAACAGAUCAGCCCAGCAAUAAACGAGUUUACAACUUGCUGGAGAGCCUCAUUCAGGUUGCCCUGAGAAAUACAUGAUGUCCAGUGAAGUGAAUGACCCUGAGGAGCCGACACCUGAUCUGCUCACUACAACCUCCCCUGUUGGACAGCAACUACUUUCUUGGAGGAAUAUGUGUCUAGUGACCACGAAAGAAUGGCCGAGACAGCCCACUUGCUCUGGAGCCUGCAGUUGGGAUCCUGGGAAAACCAGCAGACACUGUGAAAGGUUACUGACGGAGCAAAUCAUCAGCAGGGGUGACAUGCUUAUCAUUCAAUCACAAUCUUCCCAAAAUCAUUCCUUCUUGACCUUUAAUUCACGGACUAAAAUGAGACAAAGUGAGUGACCAGAAAAAAUGUCUGUAAUGAUAACUAAAAAUAUUUUUGGAGGAUAUGGCCUAGAGUGUUAAACAAGGUGAAAGGACAAUGCUUUCUCCUUGCUUUAUCUCCCUCUCUGUCUUGAACAUAAGGUAAUAUGGUACAGCACACACACACACACACACACACACACACACACACACAGCUUAGAAAUUAUACACAGUUAAAGUCUAGGGUAGGAAUUGUGCAUGAAUGCACAGCUAAUAUCAACCAUAUUGAUAAUGCUCCAAACAUGUUUUUAUGUUGGUUGGUGGACCUAUGUGUAUUUGUUUUACUAUUAUGUACACAACGUAGGUAAACACAUAAAAUAAUUAAAUGUUAUAUCAGUUAUCAAAUAUAUCUAUUUGAUAACAAGUGUCAAUAGAUUGAAAUGGUUG
This 1059-nucleotide long non-coding RNA is filed under the name Capra hircus (goat). RNAcentral's name for it is "lncRNA (ENSCHIG00000002256.1)". The record is from RNAcentral. Lineage: Eukaryota; Metazoa; Chordata; Mammalia; Artiodactyla; Bovidae.